RNAcentral lists this ribosomal RNA (468 nucleotides) under uncultured bacterium. RNAcentral describes it as "partial 16S ribosomal RNA". It matches the Rfam family "Bacterial small subunit ribosomal RNA", at positions 28 to 507 of the family's 1533-position model. The record is from RNAcentral.
GACGAACGCUGGCGGCGUGCUUAACACAUGCAAGUCGAACGGAAAGGCCCUGCUUUUGUGGGGUGCUCGAGUGGCGAACGGGUGAGUAACACGUGAGUAACCUGCCCUUGACUUUGGGAUAACUUCAGGAAACUGGGGCUAAUACCGGAUAGGAGCUCCUGCUGCAUGUUGGGGGUUGGAAAGUUUCGGCGGUUGGGGAUGGACUCGCGGCUUAUCAGCUUGUUGGUGGGGUAGUGGCUUACCAAGGCUUUGACGGGUAGCCGGCCUGGGAGGGUGACCGGCGUCAUGGGGACUGAGAUACGGACCAGACUGCUACGGGAGGCAGCAGUGGGGAAUAUUGCACAAUGGGCGGAAGCCUGAUGCAGCAACGCCGCGUGCGGGAUGACGGUCUUCGGGUUGUAAACCGCUUUCGCCUGUGACGAAGCGUGAGUGACGGUAAUGGGUAAAGAAGCACCGGCUAACUACGUG